This is a long non-coding RNA of Falco peregrinus (peregrine falcon), 5296 nucleotides long. RefSeq lists it as uncharacterized. The record is from RefSeq and is a predicted model, not a curated record. The transcript has 4 exons. NCBI's taxonomy places the organism in Eukaryota, Metazoa, Chordata, Aves, Falconiformes, Falconidae.
GCUCAGGCCGGAGGUUUCGGGGCUCAGCCUGGAGGUUUACGGGGCUCAGCCUGGCGUUACGGGGUGCACUCUGUGGUGCCAGGCUGAAUCACCGCCCCGGGUCGCCAUUGUCGUUGUCCCCAGGCAGGCCCAGCCGCAGAUCCCUCCUUAGGGCAAGACGUUAAUUAACAGGUGGGACGGUGCCUCUUUUUCUGUGCCGUGGGGCACUUUUAGUGUAAAAUAAUCCCUGUCAGCAGGUUACGCAAGGUGUUUUGCAAAAACAACGGCAGAGCAGGCAGAGCAUCCUCACCACUGCCGCCUUCCUGCCUGAGAGGACCUGGGGCUGCUCUCCGGGUGAGGCAGCUGUGACCCGCAGCUUUCCUGGCGACAGGAAUCUUUUCUUGUGACCAUUUUGCCUUAGUAAGUGGAAGGCUUAUUAAUUCUUUCUGUAGAGCCCUGGCUGAGCCUAAGCAAAUUUAAUAUACAAGUUGUUCAAGCGUUUUAGGGUACAGACUGCACUCCCUGAGGUACAGCGUGCUGUUGGAUGAUCACAUCUUGGGACAGGAGCAUGCUCCUUACACAGGCAACGGGAACGGAGGUCAGAGUGGAGGAACAUGCACCACUUUACACCAGUGAGCAUCACUCCAUGCUGCCUUUGCACUAAGGCAUGCUAUAGGCUUCCUCCAUUUCAGCCUGCUCUCGUCGCUGCACAAGGACUUACCCUGUUCAUCAGUCUUUUCCUGUGAUGUGGGGUGACGAGAGUCAGAAAUGAAAGGAAUGUUUUCCCAAGACUUGCUAGUUUUAUUUAGUUUGGUUUAAAAUAGACCUCUGACAAAGAUAAUAACAAGCGUCAGCAAGACAUUGCAUUAAGGUGGACCUGAAGCUCAUUGCUUGUGAUGUGGAAAAAGUUCACCAUAACGCUUUCUGUGCUGAGUUCUUUGAAUUUGGGGAUUUUAAUCCUGUAGGCAUAUCUGCAUAGCACCUUGGAUGCUUUAACCUUUGUAACGCUAAGGGUGCUCCCCCUGUAGCCUGUCCUUCCCUUGUAACCGCACACCUGGACGCUGCUUCCUGGCCCUUUUCUGUGGUAUCAAUCAUAGGUUCACAGAAUGGUUUGGGUUGGAAAGGACCUUAAAGGUCAUCCAGUUCCAGGGGCAGGGACACUUGGCACCAGCCCAGGCUGCUCCCAGCCCCGUCCAGCCUGGCCCUGAGCACUGCCAGGGAUGGGGCACCCACAGCUGCUCUGGGCAGCCUGGGCCAGUGUCUCACAGGAAAUAAUUUCUUCCUAAAAUCUAAUCGAAAUCUUCCCUCUUUCAGCUUAAAACCAUCCCCCCUUGUCCUAUCGCUACAGGCCCUCAUAAAAAGUCUGUCUCCAUCUUUCUUACCAGCCCCCUUUAAGUACUGAAAGGUGGCUAUAAGAUUUUCCUGGAGACCAGGUACCCAGUGCCCUCACCCUCUGUGCCCUGCGGGUGCAUUCUAAUGUGCUUUUCUGGCUGUUGUGUCUGGUUUCUCCUAAAAACUGAUUACCAUGGGUAAGUGAAACAUCCUUUCUUACCCCUUUUUUUUAUCCUUUACCUUGUAGCUUUUAGUUUAUAACUUUAGAGCCUACUGGAUAAUACAGUAGAUAAAUAAUUUACAUCCUCAAUGAAUAUUUCUUGCAUGUUACAGGUGCAUGGAGCGUGCAAUUCCUGCCCCUCAUCACGUGUGCCCCAGUCAGUGCUGGCAUCAUCUUGGGCGGGACCAACCAGUAAUGAGAUGAAGUGAGUUUUGAUGAAAACUGUAUUGUUACUGUUGGAAAACUGCUCUGUGGGCUCCCUGCUCCACUGGAGAGGGUGUCGAGAAGAGGACAGUUGUCUGGAAGACCCCAUUGCUGCUUUUUGUGGCUGGUCACUGGGAUGAUGGUUUUCCGUCUCUCUUUUUUUCUCUCUCUUUUUCUCUCCUUGUUUUCAUUGUGGUUUUUGUUGUUUUUAUUGUUUGGGUGUUUGGGGAUUUGUUUGCAAAGAAGAUUGCAAAGCUGAAGACUGUAGAGAUGUCCAAGAAGAUGGAGAGGGCCCCUGGGCACACAGAGGAAGGAAUAAGAAAACAUACUACGAUUUAUUAUUUUAGGAUGCAUUUCCUCAAGCUUCACUAAUGAUAGUUUACUGUUAGAAAGUCGGGGGGGAUCCACUGCAAAGCCAGAUCUUUUGAAAAGAAAAUAAUUUGCAGAUUCAUGACAUAUUUCUAGUUGUUCAGUGUGCCAGCUGAAGGUUGUGUCCUCUGCAUCCACAACCAGAUUCAAAGCCAUGGCUUCUUUUGACUUGUAGAGAUAAAGAUACGGAUUAUUGGUAACUCACAGUAUUAUCUGAUGGUCAGAGUCCGUCAGGUGACUGCUCCACAAAAGGAAUGUGUUCGUGUUACUGAAAUUGGUGAUUAUUUUGUAUACAACAAGCUUUAUCAGUCAGUCCAUGGAAGUUCCUACCUCAGAGCUGACGGCUUUAAGCAGCAGAGAAUCUGGCUACGUAUGCACACACCAGGCGUGAGUGGGGUGUUUGCCUGAGCAACCCCUCCCCCCCAAGAAACGAGCUGCUGAGGAGGUGGGUACAUUUCAGAAUCGGCUCUGGUACCUGUUAGAUGGACAUGGGUGUAAAGUCAGCACACAGAGCUGCUCAUCUGGCUGCUUCACCCAGGGAAUUGUGUGAGGGCUUCAGGACAGUCACUAAGGGGUGCCUAGCAAAAAACCCACCCCAGCGCCAUCAUCCCCUUGCAGCGCAGCCUGUAACGCUGCCGAGGCUUUCUGUGGGCUUGCUCCAGGUUUUGUUUGGCUCCUGGGGCACAAACCAGCCACGGGAGGAGAACAGACUCUUGCUGUGGCCAAGUAGGUGAAAGGCUGCAUGUGUUGCACGGUGUUGCUUUAACAGCACAAAGAGCUUGUGUAAGGGAUGCACAAGCCCCGAGUUGAAACGGGUAGUCAUGAGAUUGGGCGGGAGAAAGGUGAGUAGCGCGACAGGGAAGAAACCAUGGAAAAGGGGAGAUGGAGACGUGCAAAGCAGGGGAGUUUUUCUGGAGGCACAGGUAGAAGGGGUAGGCCUGCUCUUCAGGGUAACGUAGAAAUACAGAAGCUAAUGAGCUUAUGUGAAGGGCAUUAAAGUGAAGGGCAUCUUGCUGGGUUAGCCUGGAAUGGGGAAAAAGCAGGGCAAAUCCGUACUUCAGGUAUCCUUAAGCUUGCCAUGCAUUGAUUUGCUAAUGUAAAAGAAACUGAGACCCCAAGGAAAGCGUUUUAAAAAUGUAGCAGAAAUCACAAUUUUUGUGCUUGUCAUCUUAUGCCUUUUUUUAGUUUUAUGUAGAAGUUGGUAAGAUCAGACAAGGUGCUUUUAAUCUGCCUUUUAGAAGGGGUCAGAGUCUCCAUUACCACCUUGGGGGUGCCUUUGCCAGCAGCACCCAGCCUGGCACCAGCACUGCAGCUGUGCAGCGGUCCUCAUGGAUGUGGGGAAAAUCCUCCUUUCUCCCCAGUUUCAAGAGCACAAGCUCCAUCACUGGUCACCUGGUGAGGCCAGAUGGCUCUGUGGCACGCAGUGGGAAAAGGAGGUGGCAGGCGUGAGCAAGGGGUGCACUGGAGGGACAUGCAGCAGGCAUGUGUAGGGGAAAAAGGGGUUGAGCUAAGGCAGAAAGUGGGAAUUGAGGAUAAUGGGAGAAAAAAUAGUGAAGAUCAGGUUUAUCUGCAUCUUUAGACUUUCAGCUUUUAGUUAGACUUUUGGACUUCUAGUUGCUCUGCCAAGGAAAAAUACAUGUAAGGAGAGAAAGGACGCUAGGCUUUCCUCCCUCGCACUAGAAGGAAAGGGUGAGGAGCUCUGAACUUGGGUUGAGAUGGGUGAAUAAUCAGUUCAGACACAGUGGGAGACAACUAAAUGACAUUCUGACCAGGCUGCAGAAAGAGGGGCUGGAGCAUGGAGCCUGAGGUGAGGGAACCCAGCGGCUAGGUAGGGAUGCUGUUGCAGCAUCACUUUAAGAACAAACCCAAACUUCUCCUCUUUCCCUUAAGACAGACACAAACUCUUCCUUCUUUCUGUCUCACCCCUGAAACAAGUUCCUAGUGCUUGAGAAGCUAUCAGUGAGGGGCUCUGAGGAGGAAACACCCACCACCAUAUAGAAUAGAUGUGUGCAUGAAGGGUGAUGUAGUUCUGUGUGUCAUCAAGAUAUAAGAUUCUGCACCAGAGGAAGCUGAUUCAAGCAGAAGGACACCAGAUGCUGAAGCAAGGAGCAGUAAUUUAUCCAAAGAUACUGCUUUCAAAUGUGAAAAACUCUAACCAGUUACUGCCUUCCACCCUCAUUUGCUAAUUUUAAUUGGCAUCUUCUGGAGGACAAAAGUCUUUAUUCCAAAGACCUCAUUCUUGCCUCUGUGAGACCUGCCAAGAUCCUGAGUAUGGCAAGUGCAGGAGAACCAACCAGUCUUGACAACCAGCACCUUGUAAGAGGCCAUGAAAUCCUUCAUUGGUUAGACCUGGAUGAUUCAUGGUGUCUUGCCUUGGACUGAAUCACCUACUAAGGGGAAAAGAAACAGAGCCACAGAUUUUGUGCCAGAAGAAGCUUUGAAGCUGCGUCCCCAGCCCAGCGUGGCCACAGGAACAGAAGCGGCAGCUGAAUGGGAGAUGCAGGACAGGUGGAAGAGUGGGAGGGAUUUGCUGGAAAGGGGAAACAAAACCAAGGGCAAGGAAGAUAAGGCAACCUCAGCCCAGAAGGAAGGAGAAAUGUGUUGCAAAAGCAGCCUAAGAAAAGCAACUUGAGCGUGACUUGACUGCAGCGCCUGCACAUCGUUCCCCUGUGAUGGCUCAGGUUCGUGGCUUUUCUGCUUGCUCCACAUCCUCUGUCUGGUUCAUGAUACAAUUUUCCAGGCUGUGCUUUGCCUGGCAUGUGCCAUUGCCCACUAAGCCUGUGUCCUUCCCAGCCAGCACGUCACCCAGCGCCAGCCACUCGGUAUUUUGAUCCUUUCUCACACUUCUUACGUCCUUAUGCGGGACUUUGCAUUUGCUUAUCUUAAACUACUUGAUGUUCUUGUCAGCCUGCCCAUCUUUCUUGCCCUUCAGCACACCGGCUGUUUUCCCCAGCGCGAUACAAUCGACGAAUCUAUAAAAAAGUGCAUUUGUCCCAUUUGCCUGGUUGGAAGUGAAGGCAUUUAACUAAGCGCUGGCGCCAGCACCGACACCUUCAGGAAUGCACCUUGCAAGCGGCUACUUUCCGAGCAAGCCCAGACGAAGAGGUCUAUAGGGUGCCCUCGGCUACGUUCCACAUGUCACCCUCUGCCUGCGGCGGCACCACCAGCACACAGCAGCCAGAGGCGCCAGGA